CUAUCUCAUCCGCUGCUGGGAGCUUGCAAUCUUCCAGGAACGUUUUUUUGGUGCUAGCCGAGAGAGAAUCGAGAGGAAGAGAGAGAGAAAACCAUGCGCUGUAGCCUGCUUGUGAAGCCACAAGGCCUCGGCUGGUCGCUCAGGAGGGAUCUCACCGGUGGGCGCUAGAAGGUUGGACAACCGAUGUCGCGGGGUGUGAAGCUCGCCGGACUUGGGAUCUCUGCGCGGUCACCUGUGCUCGGCUGAGCCGUGGUCUGGAGCGACCACAUGGCGAGGGGACUGGACAUCGGAGUUUAGAGCGUCGCCGUGAUCCAAGCGCCACGGUCGGUCAACUCUGCUCCGGUCGACGGUGAGUUUCCCCUCCGCACUCCGUUGCAUCUUCUAUGUUGGCGCUCGGUGUGGCGAUCUAGGAGCUGUCGGGGAGGAUCCUGUGCGCCGAGCCGUAGAUAGAAGAUGAUGGCAUGGCCAUCGGUAAGGGGAAGAAGGCGAGCCCAGGGCCAUCGACCUCGUGAUGAACGGUUAAGAUUAGAAGAAAGGGUAGAAGAAGCCGGGGCCAUAGGAUGCGAUCCGAACGGCCACGAUCAAAUCGCAGAUACCCUUUUGGGCGAUGGAAGCUAGACCGUAGAUCCGAGAUCCAAGGGCCCUGAUGGCAUACCGGUUCGGUAAAGUGAGCAUUUCAUCUAGGUCCUUGGUGUCUAAUCCAACGGCUCAAAAUAGAUCUUACCCCUUCGCCGUGCACUUUUCUUAAAGAGCCCCUUUGUUUUCUAGAAAAUAACCCGUCGUCCAUGCGGGUGUGGUUCUGAGUGUUGAGAACAUUUGCGCAGGGGACCCUGUACUUUACAGAAUUUGAUGCGCGGUCCAGAGAGAUAGAAAAAUCAGAAAAAUAAAUUUAGAAAAUGAUUUUAAUGUGAAAAUAAAUGCUAGAAACUUGUAAAAUUCAUAGUUAAUUCAUUUUAACUCCAAAUUGAGUCAUUUCAGUUCCUAUAAUUUUGUAUUAAUAUUGUCUAUCAACCAGUAACACUAGUUAGCCAUGAAGAUUGAAUUAAAAUUGUUCAUUUGGAUUAAUCUAUUCUAAGCACUAAAUAAUUUCGGAAAUUCAUAACCGUAGCUCCGAAUUUAGUGGUUCUUGUUCCUACGAUCUCGUAGCAACGUGUAGAUUAUUAUUAUACAAUUUGUUCUUAUAUUUGGUGUAAUGUUAAUUUUGCCUAUACCAUGUUUGUCUGUAUUGCUACGACUAGCAGCGAGGUUACGAGUCACCUGAAGAUCAUCCUGGUAUACCUGGAAUCUCAAGUCCCAGGCAAGUUGUGCCCUUGAUCACUUCUUUUUACCCACUCAUGUUCUAAUUAAUCAUAAUGAUCUGCAUAGGUUAAUUUUGAUGGGACCCAAUAGGUUACCCUAGUUUGAGUAUCUUUAUACCUUGUUUACCACUAAACUUUUUGGGUAGUACUUGCUAGUGCUUUAUGUGGUUUUGGGUAUGAAGAUACAUUAUUCAUGAUCACACUUUUAUUAUCUGUUUAUUAUCACUGUUCAUGAUAAGAUCAUUAUGUUAAUUGGAACAUGGAGCGACCACCCGGGAAAACAGUGCUACCACAAGGGUUUAAUGGGACGCCCUUGGCUAAUUAAUUAGGAAAGCUAGUGGAGGACUACCUUACCCGAAAGGGGCAAGGGCAGUAGGGGAGUGGUCAGUGUAGGGAGGCCCUCGGGAGGAUUUUGCUGCGAUGGCGGUCCUGCAAGGGAUUCCUGCAUUGGAGCUUCCUAUAAACUGUAGCGGGUUUUCUGAAGCUAGUGGAACUUUGUAAAGGCCUCGUAGUGUUACCCUGCCUCGCCUCCUCGGUAGAGGUGUAUGGGAAGUCGCGAUCCCUUGGCAGAUGGGUAACAUGACUUGUGGGUAAAGAUGUGCAACCUCUGCAGAGUGUAAAACUGGUAUACUAGCCGUGCUCACGGUCAUGAGCAGCUCGGACCCUCACAUGAUUAAUCUAUGGAACUUAAAUUCAAUUUGUCAUAUGCAUUGCAUCGCAGGUGAUGUUGUUACUUCUGUUCUACUAUUUAAUUGGGUUGGUAUUUACUUAUACUUAGUAAUGGCUAAUAAAAUUUUGACCAACUUUAAAAGCAAUGCUCAGCUUCAGCCAUCCUCUUUGGUAAGCCUUACACUUCACAUGAGCUCCCACCUUUGGCGAGUUCAUACACAUUAUUCCCCACAACUUGUUGAGCGAUGAACGUAUGUGAGCUCACUCUUGCUGUCUCACACCCCCACAGGUCAAGAACAGGUACCGCAGGAUGAGGCGCUUGGAGGAUGCUGCGAUGUGUUCGUGAGAGGUCUAGGCCGUCGUCUCCCAGUCAACUUUGGUUGCUGGACCGUUGUCUCCUUAUAAUGUAUUUAUUUAUUUAUUUUGUAUAGAACUCCUGUUAUGUAGUAAAGAUGUGACAUUCGAUCCUGUGCCAUGAAUCAUCAUAUGUGUGAGACUUGGUCCCAGCACACCUGGUGAUUAUGUUCGCGCCCGGGUUUUGGACCCCUAAAAUCCGGGUGUGACAGAAGUGGUAUCAGAGGAAUGUUGACUGUAGGACGAAACCUAGAUAGAAAUAGACAAACCUUUACCUACUUACCUUACUCUGAUUCUUCUAUACUUUUCUUGAUCUAAUCUCAUCUUCUACUGUUCUACUCUGAUUAACCUUACCUUUGCUACUCUGAUUCUUUUCUAAACUUAUCUCAAUCCUUUCUCAUCUAUUUCCGCUUUGCUCUGAUUAUUCUACCAUGUUCCUUCUAAAGACAAAAGUGGAUUUCAUACUUUGAAACCCUGUGCCUAAAGUGACUUUAGGAAUAGGAGACCUACUCUUAGGAACAAAAAUAAAACUAUUUUUUAUAGAUAUCUAUGCGCUUGAGUGUUUGUUCUUAUGAUAUCUGUUUGAUUUAGAUCUUUGAUUGAGUGUGGUGAAUUAUGGAGUAAUGUCCGCAAUUACAUCUGCAUAUACAUAUAGGCAUAAAUAAAAUUCAUAAGAUAACCACACAACUUAGAUUAUCCUCCAUUAAAAUGUAUCUAUUUCAUAGAGAUUCCUCUUAUCUUAAAAGAUUCUUUCUUAUCUUAAUAGAUCUGACUAAUCUCAAAAGAUUCUAUCCUAUUCUUAGAGAUACAUCUUGUUCUAAUAAGCAUACUUAUCCCCACCACCUUGCUUAUUUCAUAAUGUCGUAACAAACACGAUCUAUUCCAAAAUUAAAUUAAGUAUACUUUAUCCAGUCUAAUCUGAUUACACCAAUUUAAUUCUGAUCCCAUCUAAUUUGAUCGGAUCUAACCUAAUGGACAAACAUGUUAGAUAAUACUGGUAAAAUAAGAUUGGAUCCUACUCUUAUAAAUAUGUUUUAAUCCAAGUUGGACUAAGAUUCCAAUUUAGACUAGACCACAUACAACAACCUUGCCAUAUGCAACUACCUUAACCACUCGAUAGUUACAUAACCCCUCUGUUUUAACCAACAGGGAUUUUGACCUACCUCAUAUAGCCUGCCCUACCCACAGCUAUCUUAUCCAAGACACCACUACGAAGAAGAUCAACCUCAUCAAGGAAAGGAUAAGAGUCAUCGUCAAGGAUAAAAGUUAAACCAGAUCUCUAGAUGCAUCAAGAUCCACCAUCCAGGAUAGAAGUUUUUCUUGCCUAACCUUCUCUUAUCCUAAGCUUUUCUAAAUCUUACUUAUUAGCUAAAACAUAAUAUGCACAUGUUUUCUAGCCACACUUGCUAAUGAAGAGAAACUUUUGGAAGCAUUAAAACUAAUUGAAAACGAAAAGUAAAAAAAAACUUUCUAUAUCCCUUUCUUGCUAAUCUCGAGGACGAGAUUAUUUUUAAGGGGGUAGGAUUUGUAAUACCCAAAAUCUUAGAAAUAAAAUAGAAUCCUUGAUUAUAUGAUUUUGUGACUAUAUUUUUGCAUAUCAACAAUGUGGGUCCAGUUAAGGCAAAUAAUAAUUAUCUAAAUAUAUAAAUUGUGCAUCAUGCUGGGUCUUUAAAUGUGCACUUGACUUAGAUUUAAACUUCAAAAUGCAGUUCGAAUUUAGAAUUAAAUUUUAGUAAAGAAAUUAAAAAUAGACAAAAAAGAGAGAAAGGAGAGAAUUAAAUCGAGCUAACCAUAAAAUGGCCAGACCAUUUCACUCGACAUGCAAGCAUGAGCGUGCAUAGAUUUUUUUUAACCCUUUUCUUAUUUCUUUAUUCUUUCUAUCGGCUGCUUCAUGACGAUAUCCAUGGGCCCCAGCGCUAACAGGUCACAGCGGUUGUUGUGCUCUACAGAGACUAUCAUGUGGGCCCUAUUCUCUAGAAUUGUAUCCAUGCAUAGUUUGUUACGUACGAAUCAAAUCAGGUAACCGUCCAUGCAUGCGGUUUCUGCGGGCGGGCUCAUUGCGAUUAGGAGCAGGUUGUUGAGAUCCGAAAUUUCUGCCAGAUGCCAACUGAACCAGCUCCUGAGUAUUAAAACCGAACCCCCGUGACUCCCUGCACUAUCUCAUCCGCUGCUGGGAGCUUGCAAUCUUCCAGGAACGUUUUUUUGGUGCUAGCCGAGAGAGAAUCGAGAGGAAGAGAGAGAGAAAACCAUGCGCUGUAGCCUGCUUGUGAAGCCACAAGGCCUCGGCUGGUCGCUCAGGAGGGAUCUCACCGGUGGGCGCUAGAAGGUUGGACAACCGAUGUCGCGGGGUGUGAAGCUCGCCGGACUUGGGAUCUCUGCGCGGUCACCUGUGCUCGGCUGAGCCGUGGUCUGGAGCGACCACAUGGCGAGGGGACUGGACAUCGGAGUUUAGAGCGUCGCCGUGAUCCAAGCGCCACGGUCGGUCAACUCUGCUCCGGUCGACGGUGAGUUUCCCCUCCGCACUCCGUUGCAUCUUCUAUGUUGGCGCUCGGUGUGGCGAUCUAGGAGCUGUCGGGGAGGAUCCUGUGCGCCGAGCCGUAGAUAGAAGAUGAUGGCAUGGCCAUCGGUAAGGGGAAGAAGGCGAGCCCAGGGCCAUCGACCUCGUGAUGAACGGUUAAGAUUAGAAGAAAGGGUAGAAGAAGCCGGGGCCAUAGGAUGCGAUCCGAACGGCCACGAUCAAAUCGCAGAUCCCCUUUUGGGCGAUGGAAGCUAGACCGUAGAUCCGAGAUCCAAGGGCCCUGAUGGCAUACCGGUUCGGUAAAGUGAGCAUUUCAUCUAGGUCCUUGGUGUCUAAUCCAACGGCUCAAAAUAGAUCUUACCCCUUCGCCGUGCACUUUUCUUAAAGAGCCCCUUUGUUUUCUAGAAAAUAACCCGUGGUCCAUGCGGGUGUGGUUCUGAGUGUUGAGAACAUUUGCGCAGGGGACCCUGUACUUUACAGAAUUUGAUGCGCGGUCCAGAGAGAUAGAAAAAUCAGAAAAAUAAAUUUAGAAAAUGAUUUUAAUGUGAAAAUAAAUGCUAGAAACUUGUAAAAUUCAUAGUUAAUUCAUUUUAACUCCAAAUUGAGUCAUUUCAGUUCCUAUAAUUUUGUAUUAAUAUUGUCUAUCAACCAGUAACACUAGUUAGCCAUGAAGAUUGAAUUAAAAUUGUUCAUUUGGAUUAAUCUAUUCUAAGCACUAAAUAAUUUCGGAAAUUCAUAACCGUAGCUCCGAAUUUAGUGGUUCUUGUUCCUACGAUCUCGUAGCAACGUGUAGAUUAUUAUUAUACAAUUUGUUCUUAUAUUUGGUGUAAUAUUAAUUUUGCCUAUACCAUGUUUGUCUGUAUUGCUACGACUAGCAGCGAGGUUACGAGUCACCUGAAGAUCAUCCUGGUAUACCUGGAAUCUCAAGUCCCAGGCAAGUUGUGCCCUUGAUCACUUCUUUUUACCCACUCAUGUUCUAAUUAAUCAUAAUGAUCUGCAUAGGUUAAUUUUGAUGGGACCCAAUAGGUUACCCUAGUUUGAGUAUCUUUAUACCUUGUUUACCACUAAACUUUUUGGGUAGUACUUGCUAGUGCUUUAUGUGGUUUUGGGUAUGAAGAUACAUUAUUCAUGAUCACACUUUUAUUAUCUGUUUAUUAUCACUGUUCAUGAUAAGAUCAUUAUGUUAAUUGGAACAUGGAGCGACCACCCGGGAAAACAGUGCUACCACAAGGGUUUAAUGGGACGCCCUUGGCUAAUUAAUUAGGAAAGCUAGUGGAGGACUACCUUACCCGAAAGGGGCAAGGGCAGUAGGGGAGUGGUCAGUGUAGGGAGGCCCUCGGGAGGAUUUUGCUGCGAUGGCGGUCCUGCAAGGGAUUCCUGCAUUGGAGCUUCCUAUAAACUGUAGCGGGUUUUCUGAAGCUAGUGGAACUUUGUAAAGGCCUCGUAGUGUUACCCUGCCUCGCCUCCUCGGUAGAGGUGUAUGGGAAGUCGUGAUCCCUUGGCAGAUGGGUAACAUGACUUGUGGGUAAAGAUGUGCAACCUCUGCAGAGUGUAAAACUGGUAUACUAGCCGUGCUCACGGUCAUGAGCAGCUCGGACCCUCACAUGAUUAAUCUAUGGAACUUAAAUUCAAUUUGUCAUAUGCAUUGCAUCGCAGGUGAUGUUGUUACUUCUGUUCUACUAUUUAAUUGGGUUGGUAUUUACUUAUACUUAGUAAUGGCUAAUAAAAUUUUGACCAACUUUAAAAGCAAUGCUCAGCUUCAGCCAUCCUCUUUGGUAAGCCUUACACUUCACAUGAGCUCCCACCUUUGGCGAGUUCAUACACAUUAUUCCCCACAACUUGUUGAGCGAUGAACGUAUGUGAGCUCACUCUUGCUGUCUCACACCCCCACAGGUCAAGAACAGGUACCGCAGGAUGAGGCGCUUGGAGGAUGCUGCGAUGUGUUCGUGAGAGGUCUAGGCCGUCGUCUCCCAGUCAACUUUGGUUGCUGGACCGUUGUCUCCUUAUAAUGUAUUUAUUUAUUUAUUUUGUAUAGAACUCCUGUUAUGUAGUAAAGAUGUGACAUUCGAUCCUGUGCCAUGAAUCAUCAUAUGUGUGAGACUUGGUCCCAGCACACCUGGUGAUUAUGUUCGCGCUCGGGUUUUGGACCCCUAAAAUCCG
RNAcentral lists this long non-coding RNA (6999 nucleotides) under Zea mays. Its description in RNAcentral is "long non-coding RNA (ZMAY_LNC005565)". The record is from RNAcentral. Lineage: Eukaryota; Viridiplantae; Streptophyta; Magnoliopsida; Poales; Poaceae.